This 1412-nucleotide ribosomal RNA is filed under the name Lactobacillus sp. 2011_Ileo_VSA_E2. RNAcentral's name for it is "bacterial SSU rRNA". It matches the Rfam family "Bacterial small subunit ribosomal RNA". The record is from RNAcentral. Lineage: Bacteria; Bacillati; Bacillota; Bacilli; Lactobacillales; Lactobacillaceae.
UUGAUUGAUGGUGCUUGCACCUGAUUGAUUUUGGUCGCCAACGAGUGGCGGACGGGUGAGUAACACGUAGGUAACCUGCCCAGAAGCGGGGGACAACAUUUGGAAACAGAUGCUAAUACCGCAUAACAGCGUUGUUCGCAUGAACAACGCUUAAAAGAUGGCUUCUCGCUAUCACUUCUGGAUGGACCUGCGGUGCAUUAGCUUGUUGGUGGGGUAACGGCCUACCAAGGCGAUGAUGCAUAGCCGAGUUGAGAGACUGAUCGGCCACAAUGGGACUGAGACACGGCCCAUACUCCUACGGGAGGCAGCAGUAGGGAAUCUUCCACAAUGGGCGCAAGCCUGAUGGAGCAACACCGCGUGAGUGAAGAAGGGUUUCGGCUCGUAAAGCUCUGUUGUUAAAGAAGAACACGUAUGAGAGUAACUGUUCAUACGUUGACGGUAUUUAACCAGAAAGUCACGGCUAACUACGUGCCAGCAGCCGCGGUAAUACGUAGGUGGCAAGCGUUAUCCGGAUUUAUUGGGCGUAAAGAGAGUGCAGGCGGUUUUCUAAGUCUGAUGUGAAAGCCUUCGGCUUAACCGGAGAAGUGCAUCGGAAACUGGAUAACUUGAGUGCAGAAGAGGGUAGUGGAACUCCAUGUGUAGCGGUGGAAUGCGUAGAUAUAUGGAAGAACACCAGUGGCGAAGGCGGCUACCUGGUCUGCAACUGACGCUGAGACUCGAAAGCAUGGGUAGCGAACAGGAUUAGAUACCCUGGUAGUCCAUGCCGUAAACGAUGAGUGCUAGGUGUUGGAGGGUUUCCGCCCUUCAGUGCCGGAGCUAACGCAUUAAGCACUCCGCCUGGGGAGUACGACCGCAAGGUUGAAACUCAAAGGAAUUGACGGGGGCCCGCACAAGCGGUGGAGCAUGUGGUUUAAUUCGAAGCUACGCGAAGAACCUUACCAGGUCUUGACAUCUUGCGCCAACCCUAGAGAUAGGGCGUUUCCUUCGGGAACGCAAUGACAGGUGGUGCAUGGUCGUCGUCAGCUCGUGUCGUGAGAUGUUGGGUUAAGUCCCGCAACGAGCGCAACCCUUGUUACUAGUUGCCAGCAUUAAGUUGGGCACUCUAGUGAGACUGCCGGUGACAAACCGGAGGAAGGUGGGGACGACGUCAGAUCAUCAUGCCCCUUAUGACCUGGGCUACACACGUGCUACAAUGGACGGUACAACGAGUCGCGAACUCGCGAGGGCAAGCAAAUCUCUUAAAACCGUUCUCAGUUCGGACUGCAGGCUGCAACUCGCCUGCACGAAGUCGGAAUCGCUAGUAAUCGCGGAUCAGCAUGCCGCGGUGAAUACGUUCCCGGGCCUUGUACACACCGCCCGUCACACCAUGAGAGUUUGUAACACCCAAAGUCGGUGGGGUAACCUUUUAGGAG